This 878-nucleotide ribosomal RNA is filed under the name Bacillus infantis. Its description in RNAcentral is "bacterial SSU rRNA". It matches the Rfam family "Bacterial small subunit ribosomal RNA", at positions 53 to 913 of the family's 1533-position model. The record is from RNAcentral. Lineage: Bacteria; Bacillati; Bacillota; Bacilli; Caryophanales; Bacillaceae.
ACAUGCAAGUCGAGCGGACGGAUGGGAGCUUGCUCCCUGAAGUCAGCGGCGGACGGGUGAGUAACACGUGGGCAACCUGCCUGUAAGACUGGGAUAACUUCGGGAAACCGGAGCUAAUACCGGAUAAUGCACAGCCUCUCAUGAGGCUAUGCUGAAAGAUGGUUUCGGCUAUCACUUACAGAUGGGCCCGCGGCGCAUUAGCUAGUUGGUGAGGUAACGGCUCACCAAGGCAACGAUGCGUAGCCGACCUGAGAGGGUGAUCGGCCACACUGGGACUGAGACACGGCCCAGACUCCUACGGGAGGCAGCAGUAGGGAAUCUUCCGCAAUGGACGAAAGUCUGACGGAGCAACGCCGCGUGAGUGAUGAAGGUUUUCGGAUCGUAAAACUCUGUUGUCAGGGAAGAACAAGUGCCGGAGUAACUGCCGGCACCUUGACGGUACCUGACCAGAAAGCCACGGCUAACUACGUGCCAGCAGCCGCGGUAAUACGUAGGUGGCAAGCGUUGUCCGGAAUUAUUGGGCGUAAAGCGCGCGCAGGCGGUCUCUUAAGUCUGAUGUGAAAGCCCACGGCUCAACCGUGGAGGGUCAUUGGAAACUGGGGGACUUGAGUGCAGAAGAGGAAAGUGGAAUUCCACGUGUAGCGGUGAAAUGCGUAGAGAUGUGGAGGAACACCAGUGGCGAAGGCGACUUUCUGGUCUGUAACUGACGCUGAGGCGCGAAAGCGUGGGGAGCAAACAGGAUUAGAUACCCUGGUAGUCCACGCCGUAAACGAUGAGUGCUAAGUGUUAGAGGGUUUCCGCCCUUUAGUGCUGCAGCAAACGCAUUAAGCACUCCGCCUGGGGAGUACGGCCGCAAGGCUGAAACUCAAAGGAAUUGA